RNAcentral lists this non-coding RNA (23 nucleotides) under Cricetulus griseus (Chinese hamster). The record is from RNAcentral. Lineage: Eukaryota; Metazoa; Chordata; Mammalia; Rodentia; Cricetidae.
UGGCUGUCUGACAGGAGAGAGGA